This 229-nucleotide ribosomal RNA is filed under the name uncultured bacterium. RNAcentral's name for it is "partial 16S ribosomal RNA". It matches the Rfam family "Bacterial small subunit ribosomal RNA", at positions 568 to 796 of the family's 1533-position model. The record is from RNAcentral.
UGCGCAGGCGGAAACUUAAGUCAGUGGUGAAAUCCUGCAGCUUAACUGUAGAAUUGCCAUUGAUACUGAUCUUCUUGAAUUUAGUUGAGGUGGGCGGAAUGUGUAAUGUAGCGGUGAAAUGCUUAGAUAUUACACAGAACACCGAUUGCGAAGGCAGCUCACUAAACUAACAUUGACGCUAAGGUACGAAAGCGUGGGGAGCGAACAGGAUUAGAUACCCUGGUAGUCC